GACGAACGCUGGCGGCGUGCUUAACACAUGCAAGUCGAACGGAAAGGCCCUGCUUUUGUGGGGUGCUCGUUUGCCGAACGGGUGAGUAACACGCGUGUAACCUGCCCUUGACUUUGGGAUAUCUUCUGGAAACUGGGGCUAUUACCGGAUAGGAUCUUCUGCUGCACGUUGGUGGUUGGAAAGUGUCGGCGGUUGGGGAUCGAUGCGAGGCUUAUCCGCUUGUUGGGGGGGUAGUGGCUUACGAGGGUUAUGACGGAUAGCCGGCCUGAGAGGGUGACCGGGCACAUGGGGACUGAGAUACGGACCAGACGGCUACGGGAGGCAGCAGUGGGGAGUAUUACGCAAUAGGCGGGAGCCUGAUGCGGCAGCGCUGGGUGCGGGAUGACGGGCUUCGGGUGAUGAACCGAUUUCGCCUGUGCCGAAGCGUGAGUGACGGUAAUGGAUAAAGAAGCACCGGCUAACUACGUG
RNAcentral lists this ribosomal RNA (468 nucleotides) under uncultured bacterium. RNAcentral describes it as "partial 16S ribosomal RNA". It matches the Rfam family "Bacterial small subunit ribosomal RNA", at positions 28 to 507 of the family's 1533-position model. The record is from RNAcentral.